This 227-nucleotide unclassified non-coding RNA is filed under the name uncultured fungus. RNAcentral describes it as "sequence contains ITS1". Lineage: Eukaryota; Fungi. The record is from RNAcentral.
GUAUUGAUUGCAUAUAAUUGCAAAAAAAGAAAACAUUCUGCAUUGUGUCAAGUUUUAUAUAAAAACGCAGGCCCUCCCGACAAAGGGAGGACCCACGCGGUGAUGCACAAAAGGGGUGAGAUGGAUUGUGUGAGAGGGCUUAGGCGUGCACGACCUUUAAAGGUCAGCGACAGCCCUUACACCUCAGUUAUACAAUAAUGAUCCUUCCGCAGGUUCACCUACGGAAA